GGAUGUAUACCUCAGUGGCAAAGCACCUGCCUGGCAAGUACAAGAUCCUAAGUUCAAUUCUUGGUACUCCCC
Molecule: transfer RNA, 72 nt
Filed under: Cavia porcellus (domestic guinea pig)
Lineage: Eukaryota; Metazoa; Chordata; Mammalia; Rodentia; Caviidae
Rfam family: tRNA
About the family: Transfer RNA (tRNA) molecules are approximately 80 nucleotides in length.
Source: Rfam by way of RNAcentral